This is a long non-coding RNA of Maylandia zebra (zebra mbuna), 1882 nucleotides long. RefSeq lists it as uncharacterized. NCBI's taxonomy places the organism in Eukaryota, Metazoa, Chordata, Actinopteri, Cichliformes, Cichlidae. The record is from RefSeq and is a predicted model, not a curated record.
GUUCAGUCAGUGAUUAAAACAGAUUCAGAGGUCCUCAUCAGUGAUGGAACUAAAGUUGUGCUUUUCAUUUCUGAUGUUUUUUGUGAUUCAUGAUGUCCAGUCAGCCAAAAGCCAAAAGUGUGGUUAUUCCCUGCACCUAUAAUUACCCCAGACCUAGCUCCAAAAAGAUCAUAAACAGCUGGUUAGGAUUCUGCAAGAAAGGGAACAAGGUUGUGGCAACCUCUAUCCAAAAACGGAAACUGCCUGUGGAGUACAAAAAACGAACUCAAUUUCUGGGAAAACUGAGAACACGGAACUGCACGAUGCUACUGGAUAGUGUCCGGAGCACUGAUGUUGGACCUUUUUACUUCAGGAUUGAAAUGCCACAAUACAAAAGCUUUUCCUACACACAAAACGCUGUAUCCAUUGAUGUUAUACGCAACCCCCCACCGCCAACUCUGUCUGUGGAGGUGAAUAAUCAGGCAUAUGCUACCUGCUCUGUUUUUCACUCCUGCCCAUCUAUUCCUCCUCAAUUCUCCUGGAGUCACACUGGAGUCAUCAAAAGCCAGUGGAAGAAGGUGAAUGCAUGGAACUGGCAAACAGUGUCAACUCUGACCUUUCUGCCUUUAGCCACCGAUUUCAACAAGCCUUUAAACUGCACAGUGCGACACAGAGGGGGGGAGGAGGCACAAAGCUCCAUUAUUCUUCUAAUAUGAGCCCAGUGCAUGAUCGAAGUAUAACUUCUUACUCUACACAAUAAAUUAAUUCAAGGUUUUAAUUUAGCAUUUGAGGUAUAUAGCGUCUUUAAACUACUUAAAGUGAAUCUUAAAACAGAUAGCUUUGCUAUUUGUGAAGCCCGAAGGGGUUUUGUGAUUGUUUGGUUUAAGUGGAUGUCAAAGAGUGUGUCUGCACUAAAAACACAUGUUUUAGUGUUAUCUAUGGUGAAUGAUAAGUGAUCAACAGCUUCUCCUUCUUAAAGUUGUAUUUCUCCAAAUGUUUACGUUAAAAUACAGUUAAAAAAAUUGAUACAUAUAUAUUCUUAAAUAAUAUUCUUAGAAAGAGGUGUUGUUAUGUGACAAUGUGAAAAUAAUAAGGUAGUUAUGAAACAUAUUUUGCAAUUCAGAAACUUUUGUCCACAAGAGUACUGUCAGGGACUAGAAAGAGAGCAUAUUUUGCCAUAAUCUGUAAAGAUCUGUAUAGAAAUACAAAAUGUAUUAAUUUUUUUCAUGUAUGAUUUAAAGUAAAUCAAAUGAAAGCAAAAUGGCAUCAGUAUGAAUGCCUUGGAUCAGACAGUCACGGUCCUGGGUCGGUGACCAAGUGUUUUAUGUAUUGUUAUUUUAUGAUUUAGUGUUUAAUGUUGUUUUUGUUCUGUGCCAGUUUGUUUCCUGCUUUACUUUGACAGUCUGUGCCCUACAUUAGCGUUUCUAGUUUGGUGUCUCCCUGUCCUGUUGAUGUCAGCUGCGUCUUCCAGGUGUUUUCCCUUUGCCCUGCUUUCCUCUUGUAUUCAAUGUCUGUGUCUGCUCCUGCUUGUCGUCACAUCGUAUCCUCAUUCUGACCAGUUUAGUUCAGUUUCAUGCCCUCAUCGUUCUGUUCCAUUUCCUAAUUUAAGCCUGCAAUAAAGCAGUCGGUUUUUUAGCUUAAAUUCCACCUCCACGAGUCUGCAUUUUGGGUCCUUUUUCCUGCCUGCCCGCAAACAGCCAUGACACAGACCUGUUUCAUCCAUCCAUCCAUCCAUCCAUCCAUUCGCUUUCACUAAACCUAAAAUAGUCAGAAAUGCCAAACACAGUUGUUGAGGUCUCCCAGCACCUUUCUCAGAUUUCGAAACUGUCCCAGAGUUUUAGAUGACUUGAUUAUGGACAUUUAUUACAAAUCCAUCUGAGUUUUCUGACCUUCCCCUCUGGUU